This is a long non-coding RNA of Falco peregrinus (peregrine falcon), 9095 nucleotides long. RefSeq lists it as uncharacterized. The record is from RefSeq and is a predicted model, not a curated record. The transcript has 2 exons. NCBI's taxonomy places the organism in Eukaryota, Metazoa, Chordata, Aves, Falconiformes, Falconidae.
AAGUCACCUGUAAAAAACAGUACAAAACAGUUUCAGUUUUUAGAGGCAGCACACCAAAGAACAGCAUACUCAUCAUCCUGAUGCUUCCAUGCUUGUGCUUCCCCAAUUCAGUAAAUUACUUUCAGUAGCCUUGUACCAUCGUAUCUAAAUCACAAAGUGAAAUGUUCCAUGAUGAGCUUCUCAUGGCCAUUUUUUUUUUUUAUUAUUAUUGCAAACAGCUCACGUUUGCUUCAAUUACUAGGUAAAUGUAAGGUAGAAGGAAACAGGAGUGCUUUGGCAUCCAGGGAAUGUGGGUUGAUGUUGCAAAAAAGAACACAGUUUUGGCCAUGUUACAAAUGCCAGAAUAUUCUCAGUUUCCAUUGCUGAAUAAAGGCUUGAUGGAUUUGUCAGCUUAAUGCACUGAAGGUUUGUCUGCACCACAGAUGCUCUGCGUUCCCUGAGCUGCUUUUUGUAACGGGGAUGUUUUGGGUUUAAUAAUCUGACAGCUGUAGGAACAGAUAAGCUUUUUAUUGACUUGUUCUUCUGGAGGCGUCUGUGACAGAAGCUAUUAGGAGGGAGAUACCUUUUCUUGUACUAACAGUGUUUCUGGCCUUGCAGGCCAUACGAAAGGAGAGAGAGUACCACUUGGAUCUAUACUUUAAAACAUGAAGAAAAACUGGGAAAGGUUUAGGACAUGGGAACUGGAAGGAAAGGUAUGUAAGGGCACAGAUAGAGGCUAGUAAGGGUAGGUCACAGGGAGGUGGAAGAGGACAGCAGGCAAGUCUGCAAAUGAGAGUGACAUUUUCAAACGUUUUUGUUGUUUGCCUGUUUGCAGGCAACUUAAGUUUGCAACUUUUAUAUUGCUUUUGGAAAUAGUAGGCGUCAGGUUGAGUUUUUUUUAGAAAUACCAAUUAAACAUGCUUGUUAAAUUUGAAUGUAAGCUUUCUCUUAAUAGUUACCAUAAACCUUAAGUUUCAUGUAGUAUUUUACUAAUGAAGAAAUACUUUUAAAUCUGGAAAGUACAAUUUCCUUAAAGAUUCAGCAUUCUUAAGGGUGGACCUGUUUGUAGAAUGAUGAAGUUUGCUUACCCAGGGGUUUACUUUUUGAGUAUUUCUAACCCUGUAGUUGCAUUGCCUUUAGCGAAGUUAAAAAUGAAUGGCUUAAUUUCCUGGAGGCUUGUGAAAAUUACUCAAAUUAUAGCUGUCUUUCCAGCAAUAGUUCAGAUUACCUUUGAGGCAGGGUGGAGAUGUUUCAGUUGUAUUAGUGGCUGUAGAGCCACAUGCUUUGUGCCUCGCCUUCCCUGCCGCAGACACCCAUGGGAAGAAUGAGCAGGCUCUUCCUUCUUUCAGCUCUGGUCCAGUGAUGGCAGAGGACUUCCUUCUAGCUCGCUAGUUCCAGUUCUGAUGAUUUGUUUUACUUCCCUGCGUUGUUUAGCGUUCUUUUUGAGUACUUUGUUUCUACAUUUUUUCUUCACUCAUGGUUUCGCUUGUUCAGUGAUGUGGCUUUCAGUUUGCUUAAUUCUUCCGUGCUUAGUUUGAAUGCAGUCAUCUGGCUUGUUUGUUUGAGCAAUGUACGUAACCUGCUUGUCUAUUUCUUUUAUCAGGAUCUCAGUCCCAGGGUAAGAAAGGAACAUCAGAAAAAGUUUCUGAACAACCUCUUUGGCAGUGUUCAAUCCCCUCUCCUACCCAGACUUACAGACUUGGAUAAGGACAUGAGCACUCACUCUUUGCUGUCUAGGACGAAGGAAAACAUCUGACCAGGGUUGCUUCCUCAUCUGUCUUGUAACCAAGAGCUGGAGAAGCUGGAAGUUCUCCGAGACUUGCUGGCCUGCAAGUUUUUUUGGUAGCUUUGCACAUUUGACAGUGCAAAGUGUCAAAUGUCUGAGAUGACAUUAGACAGUAGUGCUUCAGUGAUGUCUAGGCAAACGAUGACACAGGUUCAGCAAUUAGGCAUAGUGCUUCUGACUCAAGCCUAAUGAUGCCUGUUGCUAAUGUACGUGCAGUCAGUUUUGUAGUUGUAUUUAGUCUUAGUAUAAGAGCAAAUCUGUGUUACUGCACCUGGUGUCUACGGUGUGAAGAGGGGUUAUGGCUGAGCACUCUGGAUCACAUUCUAGCACAAAUCUAUGCUUGUCUUCUCUUCAAAUUGGAGUAACUUCCUUUUCUGCUAGUUUGAACAAGACCAGCACUUUCUAGUUUCACCUCUACCUGAGGCUCUCAAGGCAUUUUCUUACUCCCUUGGUUAGACCCUCUUCUCACAGAUAACUUGCCAUUUUAGUCUUUGCAAGAACAGCAGAGUGUUGAGAUACAUUUUAUGAUGUGGAUGUUGAUCCCAGGGUUCGGCUCAGUAUUUCUCCAUGAAGAUUCUCAUGCCAUAGGUACUGCUCAGGGGCAACUGGCUGAAAACAUUUUAGGACUAAUGUAAAGUGCUGUGUGUCCAUGAAAAUUCCUCUGAGAGUGAAGGCAAAUUAUGGGCUUGUCUUUGUUCCUCUUCACUUUAGCAACCAGUGAUAUUUUCAACAAAGGACCUCAAUCUGCCCUGUCUGUGAGGGACAAGCCGCACAGCUGAAGCCUGUGCAGGCCUACGCCAUCAUAGGAACUGUAUCACCAUUGUAAGCAAAGAGCAUUCUUAGCACUGAAUUUCUCCUCUCAACAGGUCUUGGUAUGGGAGAUGAUGAAGCAAGGUGGUUUCCACUGUUUCAGUAUGAGCAUUACUCAAACCUGUCCCAUAUGUCCCUAACCGGGGCCAAAGACCUUUCUGAGGAAGUUUCGUUUUGUUACGUGUGAAGGAGAUGACAUCCUCAGUUUUUCCAGGACUAGACUUCAUAGCUAGUCCCUACUUUGUAGAAAAUGUGACCUACACACAGGACACACAACUUUGCUUCCAGCUUUUUAGUUUAGCAUCUCAUCUAAUACGGACUGUUUCUCCCCAUCAGUAGUAUCACAAAAAUAGAGAGACUCCUGAGGUAGGUACUGGCAGUCAUUCUUUUGCCCAACCUGUUGGAUGGUGUGCAAGGAACUGUGAGGCAAUCCGUAUGAGUAAGGUUGAGUCUUACAUAGCUUAGCUGUGGCUUGAAACUGCAACAUGUCAAGAACCUGGGUGUUCAACAUCAUCUUCAGUGGUUACAGCAUUCAGUUCUGUUCUGAUGCAUCUUCCUGCCCCUGUCAUAUCCCCUGUUUCAAUAAAAUAGAGAGGUGGAGGGUUUUUUUGUUUGUUUGGGUGUUGGUUUGGGUUUUUUUUAGCCCAAAUGCUCAGAGAUAGUUUCCUUGUCAUCUUAGGGGAAGGGGAUUUUGUAGCAGGUGUUGCCUUAAGGAAGGAAUUGUUCUGGAGUUAAAAUAGCACUUUCACUUGCAAACCCUAGUUCAGGUGUUUCACCAAAUUGCUGAAGGUCAAAGUUGCUCCACCUCAGGGUGGUCUCUAUUCCAUAGUAGAAGCCAGCACUCAAAACAGUUACCAGUUUUUCUUCAUCACUUUAAUUUUCAGGUUUCCCUUAUGUGCACAAGUCUCACCUAUUCCCAUGUCAAAUGUCAGCAUUUUCAGAGCCAAGUCAACUCUGUGUCCUGAGCAGUCAGAACACUCCCUAAAACUGGGAGUUUAUGAGAAGUCUCCUGAAAUACAUCCACAUUGCAACGUGUCAAAACGCUGUACAGUUGGAAAUGCGCGCUAGGAAUGCUACAGUAUUUUGAGAUUUGUGCCAGAAGCAUUCCCAUGUGUAACAAAUGUGAUAGUGUUAAAUUUACACGGCUGUGUUGGGCAAAGAUCUCUGCAGUUACCGCCUUCACUAUCUAAUCUGCCUAAUGCCAACAUAUUUCCUAGGAGCACCGAAGACAAUGUCAGAGGAUCUUAGGCUGACAGACCACGUGCAGGGAGGGUAUUUUGGAUGUUACUUGUAACAUUUCUCUUUCAGGGUUUCCUCCCCACGGUGACUCAAAGCCUACCCUUGUGGUCCGUGUGUAUGCAAAGCCUUUAUUAUCUCUUAGACUACCUGAAUUUAGUCCUACGCUUCACUGCAAAUUAACAAUAAGAAGGAUUUCCCACUAGUGUUUAAGGCCAAAGGAGCUUCCAGAACAUCCUGUUAAGUAACUAUGGAAACAGUGGAUGCAGUCUGCUAGUUAGUGGCUUUCACCUUUUUGAGGCCAUUGUCACGUCCCUAGCGGUACAGAGGUGCAAGUCGCUUGACGGCUCCCUGUCUGCUCAGGAUUCACCGAUUAAUUCCUGGACCUCUGAAGGUCUGGGUUCCCCUACGAAGACACAUAAGAUACCUGCUGCUUGUCCUUUUUCUCAUCCAGCGUUACUAAGCAGAAGCCUCUAUGCUAUGCUGGGGACAGAGACUUUGAGAGUGCAGUGCUUCAGCGGCUUCUGCAGAGUAGGUGUUUUCAAGAGCUGUAGGCAGCGGUUUCCUGGUUACAGAACAUCUGUAGUCUCAGUUCCUUCAGCCGUUUCAGAGCCCUGAGAUGGCAUCCCUGGAUCUAUGUUUGCUGGCUUCAGUCUAUGCCUUCUGUUGCUUUUACCAGUCCCCUAGCUCAAGGCGUCCACAAUGUUGGUUUCUAUUACUGUGGUAUCGAGUAGCAUUUCCCCCCCUCUCCUUCCACCUUCUUUUUCAGAAACAUUUAUUGAUCAUUGGCACCAUCUCCGUGAUGGAGUGAACAUUUCAACCUUAUAUUCACAUAAGCAGUAACAUUCACAGGAAUCAUUCCCAGUUAAUGAAAACUCUUGCUGUUGCUUGGUUUCAGUAUGUGCUCAUCUUCACUCUUAAGUUGACCUCUUUAAGCCACCAUCAUUAAGUGCCUUUGUCUCCCACAGUAUUAUUACCUCAUGUUGGUACGAUACAUCCUGUAACUAUCACAGCUCCAGAUGUAUCUUCGCUCACUGCUCUUUCCUGCCUUGCUGAACUCUGUUCACAUUGCUUUCAUUCUUCCUUUUUUCAUCAUCCUCUUCACAGUUUUGCUUUCACCAUGCUAUCCUGUAUCAUUUUCCAUGGACACAAUCAUGUCCUCUUACGCUGUGACCCUUUAUGUAUUCUUCCAGGAGCAGAACUUUUCUUGUCUACUAGGGGUUGAAAUAGCCAUGUCAGCCUCCAGCUGAACGGCUGUACUCUGGGGCCAAGGAAGGUGGUGCACUGUGGUCUCCAUGUGAGAGGGAACCUAACUGACCAGUAGCUGUCCUUCACAGCUGUGUCCUGGCAUUUCCGGGAGCCAGAAUAAGGCCCAAGGCCAAGGAGAGACAGCGAAGCAGAAGAGGGAGGGCUAUAAAUUGGUACAACAAGGGAAAGAAAGACAGAGAGAUGAGCCUUAUUCCCACCCUUCUGCAGCCUCUGCUAGCCAAUAAUAUGUUGGCAUGGUUGAAAUUCGUUGUUCUCAGCUUAAUCUAUUUCUCUUGUUGCCUUCCUUGUUUUUAGGGGUUUGUUAACCUUGACUGUUUUUGCUGUGGUCUGGGUGCACGCACACAGUUAGGUAUCCGUCACUUGACAGGUUAUAGCAGCUCAUUACAGCUGUUUUAACUUUAUCUAAUGAUGACCAUAGCCGGUGCCCUUAACGCACACUUACAGGAGCUACCCAUGGAUAUGCUUUUAUGGGUUAUUACAGAAAGAUUCUACUCUAUGUAUGGAGCUGCAUCUCACAGCUGAUGCAAGACUGAGAACAGGUAUCAAGCCAAGCCUGUAAAUCUCUCAAACUAUGUAAAAAAUCACUGUGGCAGUAGGUAGAUUGCAGCUUCCAUUUGGAGCAGCAUCCCAGAGCCGAAGGGCAUAGCGGGGAUCCAGAACAACCAUCCAUCCAGAGUGAUGCUCAUGCAUCUAGAAGGGGUGGGCGAUUAUCUAUUUGUAGGUUAGACCAUUCACCCUCACCUUUCAGAAGUGCUGCUUUCCUCAGUGAAGAAACUUCUGUUUCCUUUAGUCACCACUGUCACCCUGGCAUAUUUGGGCAGCUAGAAUGAGCCACCUUCCUUGAGCAGCCUCAGUUUGGCAGCCUCAGUUUUGGUUUGCUUGCCAGUGGCAAACAGGUAGCAACAACAUUUCAUAUGCAACAUGUCUGUUCUGUCACACAGACAACUGGCAUUUCUGCUUCCUAUGCUGCUAAUUUUGUCCAUACAAAUGAUCCCACAACCAGUAACAAAGCAGAAAUUAUGUCCCUGUCAGUUAAGGAAACACGGCUGCCAAGAGAGAAGACUUAACCACUCUAAGUUUCUGUUCUAAAAGUGGGUGGAUAAUCGCUUUGUUUCUGGUUAGGAAAACAGCAGUCCUCCCUUGUGGGUAUUCUAGACAUUCUGACUAUUUCCAAAAGAUUUUAGCCCAAUUCCAUGAUUCAGUUUUCACCAUAAACAACAUCUCAGAAAACCAUGCAGACAUCACGCCCCCAUACUGGCUACCUCUUAUUUUCAUGCUUCAGGUUUUUAAACAGAAAUGCCUUAAACACAAAGAGUUAAUAGUUUCGAGGGUUUUCAGACCAGGUAGGUAACAUGAUCUGGUUAAAGGGAGACAGAACACUGGUGGUGCAAAUGUUGAGUAUUAAAUUGAGUGUGAGUCAUCCAAUUCUGUUUAUUAACCUGACUUCCUUCUUAGUCACCCAGCAUAGCUAUUCUUUCUCAUCUCAUCAGGGAGCAAACCUUUCCAUCACCCUAACCUGAACUCUGGAAUAGUGCAGACAGUCUGCAGCAUAUUCCACCUUCAUGAACAAAUGUAAAGCUUCAGUAAUGCUAUGACUCAAUGAAAAAGUAACGCUCCUUACUGCCUUUUACCCAGAGUGCCGAGGCCUUCAAGUAUAUAGAGUGGUUGCUGCGUAAAUGGACUGAAUUAUACAUUGUUCAAGGGGUUGAUUAGCAUUCAGCAAACCCUGAAUUAAAGGUUGUUAAUUCAGUGGGGCUCUCACACUUUCAUUGGUAGAAAUAGGAUACACUGCACUUGGGAAAAUGUGAAGUAGUCUGGCCUUCCAGCAACACUGCUGAACUCCACAAGAAUGCUGUAUUGUUUGCAGAGACCUUGCUCAAAAGCAGUAUACACAACUGUCUGCAUCUCCCACAUUUUUACCUCAUUGGCAUAAAAGUAAUCUAGGAGGGGGAAAUAUGUCCUCUUGUCACUCUUGUCUGCAAGUUUUCAAACUAAAAUAUGCAUAACAGGGCUUCUUGGUUUUUUCCCCCCAACUUAUUAUAAUAUAGCUAGCCACAGAAAUUUUGGCAAUUUGGAAAUUAUUUUCUUAGGGCCCACAGAAAUCAAUACUACCAGACAGCAGACAAGCAAGAAAACAGAUGCCUGACAGCAUUAUAGGAAAUUCUGCUAACAGAUAAAGAUUCAUAGGAUGUUUUCCAUUUUAUGCCAGUUUGCCAGGUGUUUAUAUGUGUGUACUGAAGCCAUCAAAUUGUCAGAGCAGUAGAGCCUGGACCCAGCAUACCAGCUUUCGAGUAAGGUGACCAGCCACCUCCCCACCCUUUCUAGAAGGGCAUGUAACGUUCUUUGAAAAGAACAAGGCAAGAAGGAAAUGUUUCAACAGAAGUCUCGUGUUUCUUUCUUCACCUACUAAAGUUUUGGUUUUUUUUUUAAUGAUGGGAGGAUUAUUUAGCAGGGGCAUGCCUCUGAAGGGGAAGUCCCAGUGUAGUGUUUACAUAGAUGACAAGCCAAGACAAUUGUAUAACUGUGCCACUCAGUGUCAUUGCUAAAUUAGGUGCAUAGUCAGAGCUCAUUGCUUUUAAAAGAACAGCAUUGCCUAGUGAGGGAAAAAAUUGUUCUAAUUAUUUCCUAUUAAAAAGGAAUUUUAGAAGAAAGAUCCUGUGAUUUUGGCAAUCUAUUUAUUAAAUCUUACAUAACUGUGUAGAAGAAAAGGCUUUAUGUAAAGUGCUUUCUAAACUAAUCCCCAACAGAAAGCUCUUUCACAUCUGCUGGCUGCUAAGAAUACUCCUUAGACUUUCAUCGGUCUAAUUCUGUCUGGAUUUGACAGGAUUAUAUGAAGGCAAAUAUAAAGAGCCAGAUGAUUAGCUUUUCCUAAAUCUUUCAAAACUUCAAGACAGUAAAAAUAGAAGUAGGAAACUUGUAAAGAAAUUAAAUUACUCUAUAGAAGAUGGGUUUUAUUUUGAAAUGAAAUUGAUAUGAUUCUAGGAAGUGAUGUAAAAACUAUUCCUUCCUGUGAGAACUAAACAUUCAUAAAUGUCAAUACAACAAGGGCAUGUACUUGCUAAAGCACUUCUGGCCCAAGUUACAUAGAUUUAGCACUCUCUUUGUUUCUUUCAAAGAGAUGUUUAUUUUUUUAUAUGUUAGCUGCUUCUAUGACCUCUGGCUAUUUUUUUGAGACUUUUUUUUUUCCUUCUAUUCUUCACAGUCCAUGUAAUGCUUUAGUUUAUACAGGAGAGAACUAUUCACUGAGAAUCUCAGAAUUUGGCCUGUAAGUGAUAGAAUUAUAAAAGAUUCAUUGUAGAAGACAGAGUUCUUUGCAAAUAGAUGUAUUUGUAUUACAGAUGUUCCAUAUAUUUUUUCUUUGAAGCUGCUUCUCUGUGUGGUUGUCAUUAGAAGAGGGCAAAUGGGAGUUACCAGUAGCGUACAACGUAUUAUCAGUCUUACCAACUAGCAGCCUGCUAAACCAUCUGUAUACAGAAUAAGGAGGUGGUAAAUUAGGCACGUGUGUGUUACACAAAUGUGUGGCUGAGUAUGUUUAUUGAAAUGUCUCAAAGCUUUAGGCUUUGAACAAGGGAAUGUAAAAAUACAUGAUACAGAGUUAAGUGGUUUUUGUCACACAAAGGCCCAUUUUUGCAUAACAUACUACAUAACACAAGUGGAAAAUCUGCUCUGAGAUCACGUUAUGAAUGGUAUGUAAUGCUUCUGCUUAAAAAUGUGCAACACACCACAUAAAUGAAAUAUAAAGAUUAAGUAUGUCAACAAAGUAAUUACAAAACAUUUACACCUUAAAGAUUAAUUUAAAUGUAUUUACACUGUUUGGCAAAUGAUGUUCUCUUGCCAUGAAGUUUUAGGAAUGUUAAAUUAGUAAAGUUUAAAGUACUUUUAUAAAUAGUAGAAAUAUUUUAUUGAGAUUUGUUUUUCACUCUGCACAUCUGGCAAAUGCAGAACUUGUACGUUUUGCAUGCUGCACCAGCAAGCUUUUCAGCAUUAUAUAAUAAAAAUGUAAACUUCUGAUGAA